RNAcentral lists this ribosomal RNA (497 nucleotides) under uncultured bacterium. RNAcentral describes it as "partial 16S ribosomal RNA". It matches the Rfam family "Bacterial small subunit ribosomal RNA", at positions 28 to 507 of the family's 1533-position model. The record is from RNAcentral.
GAUGAACGCUGGCGGCGUGCCUAAUACAUGCCAGUCGAGCGAACAGACGAGGAGCUUGCUCCUCUGACGUUAGCGGCGGACGGGUGAGUAACACGUGGAUAACCUACCUAUAAGACUGGGAUAACUUCGGGAAACCGGAGCUAAUACCGGAUAAUAUAUUGAACCGCAUGGUUCAAUAGUGAAAGACGGUUUUGCUGUCACUUAUAGAUGGAUCCGCGCCGCAUUAGCUAGUUGGUAAGGUAACGGCUUACCAAGGCAACGAUGCGUAGCCGACCUGAGAGGGUGAUCGGCCACACUGGAACUGAGACACGGUCCAGACUCCUACGGGAGGCAGCAGUAGGAAAUCUUCCGCAAUGGGCGAAAGCCUGACGGAGCAACGCCGCGUGAGUGAUGAAGGUCUUCGGAUCGUAAAACUCUGUUAUUAGGGAAGAACAAAUGUGUAAGUAACUAUGCACGUCUUGACGGUACCUAAUCAGAAAGCCACGGCUAACUACGUG